This 315-nucleotide unclassified non-coding RNA is filed under the name plant metagenome. RNAcentral's name for it is "partial contains 5.8S ribosomal RNA, internal transcribed spacer 2, and large subunit ribosomal RNA". The stretch from base 1 to 105 matches the Rfam family "5.8S ribosomal RNA", at positions 50 to 154 of the family's 154-position model. The record is from RNAcentral.
GAACUGCGAUAAGUAAUGUGAAUUGCAGAAUUCAGUGAAUCAUCGAGUCUUUGAACGCACAUUGCGCCCCCUGGCAUUCCGGGGGGCAUGCCUGUCCGAGCGUCAUUGCUGCCCUUCAAGCCCGGCUUGUGUGUUGGGUCGUCGUCCCCUCCGGGGGACGGGCCCGAAAGGCAGCGGCGGCACCGCGUCCGGUCCUCGAGCGUAUGGGGCUUUGUCACCCGCUCGAUAAGGACCGGCCGGGCGCCAGCCGGCGUCUCCAACCUUUUUUUCUCAGGUUGACCUCGCAUCAGGUAGGGAUACCCACUGAACUUAAGC